AGGGGUAUAGCUCAAUGGUAGAGCAUGUGCUCGGUGUGCACGAGGUCCUGGGUUCAAUCCCCAGUGCCUCUG
This is a transfer RNA of Camelus ferus (Wild Bactrian camel), 72 nucleotides long. It matches the Rfam family "tRNA". From Rfam's summary of the family: Transfer RNA (tRNA) molecules are approximately 80 nucleotides in length. Their secondary structure includes four short double-helical elements and three loops (D, anti-codon, and T loops). NCBI's taxonomy places the organism in Eukaryota, Metazoa, Chordata, Mammalia, Artiodactyla, Camelidae. The record is from Rfam.